Molecule: ribosomal RNA, 524 nt
Filed under: uncultured bacterium
Lineage: Bacteria
Description: partial 16S ribosomal RNA
Rfam family: Bacterial small subunit ribosomal RNA
Source: RNAcentral
GACGAACGCUGGCGGCGUGCCUAAUACAUGCAAGUCGAGCGCAGGAAACUGACGGAACUCUUCGGAGGGAAGGCAGUGGAAUGAGCGGCGGACGGGUGAGUAACACGUAAGGAACCUGCCUCAAGGAUUGGGAUAACUCCGAGAAAUCGGAGCUAAUACCGGAUAGUUCAUCGGACCGCAUGGUCCGUUGAUGAAAGGCGCUCCGGCGUCACCUUGAGAUGGCCUUGCGGUGCAUUAGCUAGUUGGUGGGGUAACGGCCCACCAAGGCGACGAUGCAUAGCCGACCUGAGAGGGUGAUCGGCCACACUGGGACUGAGACACGGCCCAGACUCCUACGGGAGGCAGCAGUAGGGAAUCUUCCACAAUGGACGAAAGUCUGAUGGAGCAACGCCGCGUGAGUGAUGAAGGCUUUCGGAUCGUAAAACCCUGUUGUAAGGGAAGAACACGUACGAGAGGGAAUGCUCGUACCUUGACGGUACCCUACGAGAAAGCCACGGCUAACUACGUGCCAGCCGCCGCAGUAA